Oncorhynchus kisutch (coho salmon) is the source of this 2087-nucleotide long non-coding RNA. The record is from Ensembl. Lineage: Eukaryota; Metazoa; Chordata; Actinopteri; Salmoniformes; Salmonidae.
UAACGACACCAGUCAGUAGCCGAGAUGACCCAGGUGCGAAGGUCGGUGGGAGAGGCGCUGUGGGGAAUGUGUGCCGCUGACGCCAUGUCCAUGCCUGCGCACUGGUACUACAACAUCGAUGACAUCAAGAGAGAUUUUGGAGGAUGGAUCACCGGCUUCAACGCUCCCAACAAAAGACACCCGUCCAGCAUCCUCACCCUCUCCAACUCAGCGGGGAGCGGUCGCACUGCAUGGUCCUCUGGUGGGAACAGACCCCAUGUUGUGGGUAGCGUAAUCCUCCAUAACAAGCUCAAGUUCUGGAAGGCAUCAGGUGGAUCAGUCCACUAUCACCAAGGUCUCCAAGCAGGUGAGAAUACCCUGAAUGCCAUCUGCUCCCUGAGGGUGGCACAGGCCCUGACAGGGGGGAAGUUUGCCAGCGUGGCAGAACCAGUGGCGAGGGGGGCGGUGCUGGCUGAUUACGUACACUUCAUGACCACGCCAGGAACACAUGGAGACACCUACGCAGAGUCCUUCCACAGAGCAUUCUUCUCCGACUGGCAAGACCCCAGACCCACUUCCUCCAGCAAGGUGUUGAAGUUUGCAGAGCAGCGCUACCAGCAGAAGAUGAACAUGUCAGUCCCUGACAGCCAGCUAGACGCUAUUAGCUGCCUCCCCAUGGCCAUCCCCUUUGUGCUUCUCUCUGCCACAGCCAAUGAGGACCAAGCUGUGUCUGCAGCGGUAGAGUUUGUCCGGCUCACCCACCCCCACCCCAAGGUGGAGAAAUAUGUGACGCUGUACGCCCGAGCCCUCCAUGCCACUCUGAAUGGGGCGUGUCUGAAGCAGCAAGCGGAGGCCGCCCUCAAGUCACCCGACCUGGACGCAUGGGACACUUGCAAGCCCUACAUACAGAAAGCAGCCAGGUUUCCAACCUCUUCUGCAGAGGGGCUCACGGUUCACCAGAGUGCAGUGGAAAUGCUUGGCAUGGCCUGCUACACCCGAGGUGCCCUCAGUAGUAUGUUCUACCUAGCACAUGAGUUUCACAACGACCCUCAUGGAGGGAUCCUGGCAAACACCAAUUGUGGCGGAGAGAACUGCAACAGGGGUUCUGCUUUGGGGGCUCUGCUGGGGGCGAGGGCAGGGUACACGGGUGGAUCUGUACCCCAGGAGUGGAAGGAUGGAUUGAGGAACACACAGGAACCCAUCCAUGAAAUAGUAAAGAUGCUCCGAGACUGCCCCCUAUAGGACUUAAAGCCAGCAUCAGAGCACUGACACACAUACCUUACCUCCGUUUGAUCCCCUAUUGUUGACCAAUCACCGAAGAUGGGGCGUAGACUUUGGCUACGGAACUUUGACAAUCCUCAAGAAAAACAUGUGUGAUGAACAGCCCGGGGGGAAGACCCUGCCGAACGCUGCCGAACACCUAAAACGUCACAGAAUUUCAUCCUAAAAUAUGCGGGAUCUUUUUCGACUUUGAAUCAUACCGUAAGCUUUAAACUCAUAUCGAGUUUGAGUGGAAGAAGAAAAAGUUAACCUAGUUUAAAGUACAUUUGAUCAUAUACAUUGAUUGCAGAAGCAGGCAGACAGUAGCCUGCAACAUUUCUACAUUCCUUGUUUCCAAGUUAUGCGAAGGGAAACAUUGUGAAUUAAUUAUGGCAGUUCAAUGGUAACUUAUUUUAUCAGUCUUAUUUUCAUUUGGAUAUAACCUAGUGAAGUUAUUUGAAAGGUAAUAUGCCCUGCAGAAUUGUGUUUUAAAGUUGAAUAAAAGCAUUUAUGCUGGUCGAUUAUGCGCACAAACAAUAGUAUACACUGUUACAAUCUUAUGUACUGUAAUUAAGGUGUGAAAACAUUAAUUAUCUAACAUCUACAGUACAUGCUGCUUUUCAUAUGGAUCUUGUUUAUUAUCUAUAUAUUUUUAUAUCCUUCAGGCCCAAUAAAUGGUGUCUCAUUACCAAAUCUAACCACUGUCAACAACUGUCCUUCAGGCCCAAUAAAUGGUGUCUCAUUACAAAAUCUAACCACUGUCAACAACUGUCCUUCAGGCCCAAUAAAUGGUGUCUCAUUACCAAAUCUAACCACUGUCAACAACUGUUAUUGUCCUGUCUUCUUCA